CCUUGAAAUACCACCCUUUAAUGUUUGAUGUUCUAACGUUGGCCCCUGACCGGGGUUGCGGACAGUGUCUGGUGGGUAGUUUGACUGGGGCGGUCUCCUCCCAAAGCGUAACGGAGGAGCACGAAGGCUAGGGGUCUCCUCCUACUGGCAGACCCUGAUCACUGGGGCGAUCAUCG
Molecule: ribosomal RNA, 176 nt
Filed under: Klebsiella pneumoniae
Lineage: Bacteria; Pseudomonadati; Pseudomonadota; Gammaproteobacteria; Enterobacterales; Enterobacteriaceae
Description: partial 23S ribosomal RNA
Rfam family: Bacterial large subunit ribosomal RNA
Source: RNAcentral